CUACGGGUCGCAGCAGUGGGGAAUAUUGCACAAUGGAGGAAACUCUGAUGCAGCAACGCCGCGUGGAGGAUGACACUUUUCGGAGCGUAAACUCCUUUUAUAUAGGAAGAAGAUGACGGUACUAUAUGAAUAAGCGCCGGCUAACUCCGUGCCAGCAGCCGCGGUAAUACGGAGGGCGCAAGCGUUACUCGGAAUCACUGGGCGUAAAGAGCGUGUAGGCGGAUUAAAAAGUCAGAAGUGAAAUCCUAUAGCUUAACUAUAGAACUGCUUCUGAAACUCUUAAUCUAGGAUAUGGGAGAGGUAGAUGGAAUUUCUGGUGUAGGGGUAAAAUCCGUAGAGAUCAGAAGGAAUACCGAUUGCGAAGGCGAUCUACUAGAACAUUAUUGACGCUGAGACGCGAAAGCGUGGGGAGCAAACAGGAUUAGAUACCCCUGUAGUC
This 439-nucleotide ribosomal RNA is filed under the name uncultured bacterium. Its description in RNAcentral is "partial 16S ribosomal RNA". It matches the Rfam family "Bacterial small subunit ribosomal RNA", at positions 339 to 795 of the family's 1533-position model. The record is from RNAcentral.